Molecule: transfer RNA, 68 nt
Filed under: Cavia porcellus (domestic guinea pig)
Lineage: Eukaryota; Metazoa; Chordata; Mammalia; Rodentia; Caviidae
Rfam family: tRNA
About the family: Transfer RNA (tRNA) molecules are approximately 80 nucleotides in length. Their secondary structure includes four short double-helical elements and three loops (D, anti-codon, and T loops).
Source: Rfam by way of RNAcentral
UUUAGCUCAGUGGCAUAAGCACCUGCCUUGCAAGCAGGCAGUCAUCAGUUCGACCUUGGUACUGAUAA